Arachis ipaensis is the source of this 550-nucleotide non-coding RNA. The record is from RefSeq and is a predicted model, not a curated record. Lineage: Eukaryota; Viridiplantae; Streptophyta; Magnoliopsida; Fabales; Fabaceae.
GCCCUAGCCUUCUUCCUCUCUUUUACGCGAGGCGAAUCCGGAGCCCUAGCUUUCUUCCUCUGUUCUUCUCUUCCACGGUUCCACACUUCCACCUUCGAUUCCACCAUGCUCGAGAGAAGGAGACCCUGAAGGAGAACCCUAGCUUCUCUUCCUCUCUUCUUGUCUUCAGUCAUCGCCGUCGCAGGGUCGCCUCGCAGGGUCGCCGUCGCUGGGUCGCCGUCGCUGCCUCGUUGGGUCGCCGUCGCCGAGGAGCAAUCCAUUCACCGAGAAGCAGUCCUGUCACCGAGUAGCAGUCCAGUCGCCAAGCAAGACUCCACUCACUCCAGUGGCCGUCGCAGUCCAACUCGAGCGCCGAGCAGCACUCCUGUCACCAAGCCAUCUCCUGCAGAAAGCAACUCCACAAUGCCUUCUUCGGAGAAAUUGCACCAACCAGAGAAGAUGAGAAUGAAUCUGGUGUGGAUUCAGAUUAAGCAUGGUGGUUGAUUGGCUGUUUGGUUUUUAUUUGUUUUAAAGUGACUGUUGUGGUUUAAAGUGUGUUUAUUUUUGUUGU